This 346-nucleotide long non-coding RNA is filed under the name Volvox carteri. RNAcentral's name for it is "long non-coding RNA (VCAR_LNC000019)". Lineage: Eukaryota; Viridiplantae; Chlorophyta; Chlorophyceae; Chlamydomonadales; Volvocaceae. The record is from RNAcentral.
GAACUGGGAGUGGCAAGAUGGGGCCCACGAUGACGCCAGCCCCUUCUCCAAGGAGGACUUCUCCGAGCCCCCGGCUGUGACAGCCCUGGACCGUUUCCUGGAGGCCAACAAGGCCGCACCCGCAGCCACAGCAACGGAAGCCCCGAGCAGGGGCGCUGCUGGAGGGGGCCCAUUCAGCAGCGCUGCCGCGGGCGCUGCCGCUGCAGGCGGAAGCGGUGUAUGCGUGAAGCGCCAGCGGAUGGAUGACGCAGGGGCGGACAUGCUGGGCAGCAGCCUGGGCAGCGGCGAAGAGCCGCCGCCUGUUGCGAAGAAGGUCAAGCUCAGGAGCAGCAUGCCGGGCGCGGGU